CAACCACGGACGAGUAGAGUCGUACGGAAAGUAAACCAAAAGCAAACCAAAUAUUCGUCAUCUCCGUGAAAUACAUUUAGUAGAUAAAAAAAAAUUUAUCGAAAAAUUAACAGGUAUUAUCAGCAGGUUUUUGUAGAAACUAAACAUGGCUUGCUGUCCAAGAAACCAAGCUCAGGAUCAAGAAGCGACAGAACUCCGCCCACCAGAUGCAGUGAGCCAGUGACUAACACAUCCAGCUGUAUAAAACCAAAUCAUAAUUUAACGACAUAUAAACCAUUCUUAAAAUGUA
Molecule: long non-coding RNA, 289 nt
Organism: Daphnia pulex (common water flea)
Lineage: Eukaryota; Metazoa; Arthropoda; Branchiopoda; Diplostraca; Daphniidae
Exons: 2
Source: RefSeq, a predicted model, not a curated record